This is a long non-coding RNA of Myotis brandtii (Brandt's bat), 318 nucleotides long. RefSeq lists it as uncharacterized. The transcript has 2 exons. NCBI's taxonomy places the organism in Eukaryota, Metazoa, Chordata, Mammalia, Chiroptera, Vespertilionidae. The record is from RefSeq and is a predicted model, not a curated record.
CCACCGGUCCCCCCUCCGACGCACCAUCCCGGACGCGCCCCCUGGGCCGGGACCCCAGGGGAGAAGGACUCCCUGUCGCCUGGCUCCUGUUGUCAAUAAAAGUCAUUGCUGCGUCUUCCCUCCCCUUUGUGUGUUGGAAAGUUCCCAGACGCGGAGACUGCAGCACAACGUGCAGAGACAUUCUCUCCCUUGGAGUUUUAGGAAAGUGACCGUGUGUCACAAACAUGUCGGACAAAAGUGAAUUAAAGGCAGAGCUGGAACGUAAGAAGCAGCGGUUGGCCCAAAUCAGAGAGGAAAAGAAGAGAAAAGAAGAAGAAA